This 433-nucleotide ribosomal RNA is filed under the name uncultured bacterium. Its description in RNAcentral is "partial 16S ribosomal RNA". It matches the Rfam family "Bacterial small subunit ribosomal RNA", at positions 29 to 507 of the family's 1533-position model. The record is from RNAcentral.
AACGAACGCUGGCGGCAUGCCUAACACAUGCAAGUCGAACGAUGCCUUCGGGCAUAGUGGCGCACGGGUGCGUAACGCGUGGGAAUCUGCCUUUCGGUUCGGAAUAACUCAGGGAAACUUGAGCUAAUACCGGAUAACGUCGCAAGACCAAAGAUUUAUCACCGAAAGAUGAGCCCGCGUAGGAUUAGCUAGUUGGUGAGGUAAAGGCUCACCAAGGCGACGAUCCUUAGCUGGUCUGAGAGGUUGAUCAGCCACACUGGGACUGAGACACGGCCCAGACUCCUACGGGAGGCAGCAGUGGGGAAUAUUGGACAAUGGGCGAAAGCCUGAUCCAGCAAUGCCGCGUGAGUGAUGAAGGCCUUAGGGUUGUAAAGCUCUUUUACCCGGGAAGAUAAUGACGGUACCGGGAGAAUAAGCCCCGGCUAACUCCGUG